RNAcentral lists this microRNA precursor (67 nucleotides) under Bombyx mori (domestic silkworm). RNAcentral describes it as "mir-2774 microRNA precursor family". It matches the Rfam family "mir-2774 microRNA precursor family". The record is from Rfam by way of RNAcentral. Lineage: Eukaryota; Metazoa; Arthropoda; Insecta; Lepidoptera; Bombycidae.
ACAAUAUUUGGGCUGCUGGUCUACCGGACAAUUUCGCUCGUUCGGUGGAAAAUCUUCCAUUUAUCGU